This 227-nucleotide long non-coding RNA is filed under the name Macaca mulatta (Rhesus monkey). Its description in RNAcentral is "lncRNA (ENSMMUG00000045519.2)". The record is from RNAcentral. Lineage: Eukaryota; Metazoa; Chordata; Mammalia; Primates; Cercopithecidae.
CCUCCCCAUAUGCUACAUACUAAAUCAGUGCUACGGUUUACUUCCUCUUGGACAAAAUGAAGAUAGCAGAGAAGGAAAGGAAAGUAAAAGUCAUAUAAAAGUGGGUCUGGAGUAAACAACAGACGAACUGAGCUAUUUUUGAAAGAACAUGACCACCUUCAAAAAGUUUUUCAGGGGUGAAGAGAAACUAGAAUAAGGAGAUAACUGACACAAACAGAAAAAGCCUC